GGAGUGGGGGCUUAUGGGAAUUAUUCUUUUUAGUGCUUCGCACUGGUUAGUGGCGGACGGGUGAGUAACACGUAGGCAACCUACCCCUGAGCGGGGGACAACCCAGGGAAACUUGGGCUAAUACCGCAUAAGACCACGACCUGGGAUGGUAGUGGUAAAAGCAGCAAUGCACUUAGGGAUGGGCCUGCGGCCUAUCAGGUAGUUGGUGGGGUAACGGCCUACCAAGCCUACGACGGGUAGCCGGUCUGAGAGGACGAACGGCCACACUGGAACUGCGACACGGUCCAGACUCCUACGGGAGGCAGCAGUGGGGAAUUUUGCACAAUGGGCGAAAGCCUGAUGCAGCGACGCCGCGUGGAGGACGAAGGCCUUCGGGUUGUAAACUCCUUUUGUAGGGGACAAUAAUGAUGGUACCCUAUGAAUAAGCCACGGCUAACUCUGUGCCAGCAGCCGCGGUAAGACAGAGGUGGCAAGCGUUGUUC
RNAcentral lists this ribosomal RNA (482 nucleotides) under uncultured bacterium. Its description in RNAcentral is "bacterial SSU rRNA". It matches the Rfam family "Bacterial small subunit ribosomal RNA", at positions 64 to 546 of the family's 1533-position model. The record is from RNAcentral.